UAACUGGUUUGGCCCGGGCCGGCUUCCGUCCUGCCGGGAGGGACUUGGGCUGUGAGGCUGCGUGUGGGCAGGUUCCCAAGAUGGCGCUGGUCGGCGGGGCGGUGCUGGGCGCUGCGGGCCACUGGGCCGUGCUCUCCCGCUCCUGCGGGAAGGCCGUGGCGGCGCCUCUUUUCGGGGCCGCGGCUUACUCCUCCGUGCCGGCGGUGAGCAACAGGGACGGGCAGCAGAGGGAAGCUUCAACAAGGAGAAGAGGCAGGACACCACAGUUCGUAAGACAGCAUCUACCUCCCAGAACUGAGAAGAUGGCUGUUGAUCAGGACUGGACCAGUGUUUAUCCAACAGCAGCUGUGUUUAAACCUGCAUCUCUGCCUCUCCCAGUUCGAAUGGGUUACCCAGUGAAGAGAGGAGUGCCUCCACCAAAAGAAGGCAACUUAGAACUUAUGAAGAUUCCAAAUUUUUUGCAUCUUACUCCUCCUGCAAUUAAGAAACACUGUGCAGCUCUUAAAGAUUUCUGCACCGAAUGGCCAAGUGCUUUGGACAGUGAUGAGAAAUGUGAACAGCAUUUUCCUAUUGAAAUUGAGACAGUAGAUUAUGUUUCUUCAGGAACAUCUAUUCGUAAUCCCAAAGCAAGGGUGGUGACUUUAAGAGUUAAACUUUCUAACCUGAAUUUGGAUGACCAUGCAAAGAAGAAGCUCAUUAAACUUGUAGGAGAGCGGUACUGUAAGGAUACAGAUAUACUCACAAUUACAACGGACAGGUGUCCGCUAAGAAGACAGAACUAUGAUUAUGGCAUACACCUUCUCACAGUUCUGUACCAUGAAUCUUGGAAAACGGAGGGCAUCCACAACUCACCAAUUCUAUUGCUGUUGCAACUAGAGGGCUCAGCUGGAAUUAGUUUGCAAUAGUCCUUGUUAUAAUGGAGUUACAGUUUAAAUAUGCAACAAGUAUGUGCAGACAAAAUAGAAAGCAAAGAGUUGGGGGGAUUACCAACAAUUGGUGCAGGUGUAGUUCUGACUCAAGGCUCUGAAUAUGUUGUUCAGAAUGGAUUUCUUUCUUGGAUUGUGAUGUGGGGAAGAGAGUUUGUUUUCGUUUAAAUGAAUAAAAGGUUAUCCACAUCAGAUUUGUCAGACUGGUUUCUGAGAGGUACCAGAGUGAAAGUGAGGGAAGCAUCUUGAUAGUUAAUGCACUGACUAGCAUUUUUGAGUCCUCUAACCAGCUAGCCAUCAGUGGAUGAUGCAAGAAGACAGGCAACCCAAAUUGUGAAAGGCUUUGAAGAUAUAUAAGAGGAUUGAACCAGCUGUAACAAGCUUUCAGAGAAGUUCAGGUGUUUUUUGUAGUCAUGUGUAAGAGCUCCCUUUUUUGAAUCUGUGGGGAAUUAAGAAAAAUGGAAGGAAUUGAAAGAAAGGAGUGGUUGGUUGUGAUUUUUGUUUGCUUGUUUAUGUUGUUUUUUGUUUUGUUUGGGUGGGGUUUUUUUGUUUUUUGUUUGUUUUGUGGAAGGACUAAAUGAGUGAAUAUAGGGUUCUUUUUUGUUGUUUUGUGACUGUUGGAGGAAGAAGCAAGGGUUUCCACAAUGUGGGAUGGGGAGGGACAGGGGAAAAGAAUUGUCAGACUGUUGAUAGAUGGUCAGAAUGAAGAGUUAAGAUGAAGAAGCUGACAGAGGUGGCACGAGUGCAAAAAGUUACAUUCAUUACUUGGGAAUACAUAACCUCCACGAAUUGGUAGUUAAAAGUAGUAUUGCUUUUGAAACUGCUGGUUUUUCUGCCUUCUCAUGUUCACACGGAAAUGCCAUCAAUGAACUUAACCAUGCAAAAUUCUGCAAAAGCUCCAGGUGCCCAAGACCUUUCAGGAUUACGCUAGAAUUUACCAAAACACAGUGCAGUGUAACCAGUUGGUAUUUGAUCUGUAUUUAAACAAAUAACCCCCUUUUUUUUGAAGAAAGAAAUGUAACGAUUUUCUUCCAUACUCUAGAAUGCAUUCCUGUAGCACAUAAUACUACCCUUGCUUUUGGGAAAUGAAAUCUGUAGUGACUUCUUUUUUUCUUUUUUUUUUUUUUUUUUUUCUCCAGAAAAUAACAAUCUUUCUUGUUUGUUUUAAUAGAGGAAGUGAAGGAAGAGAGGAGGAAAAACAUGAGUUCAUCCUCUGGUUCUUGAUCCUAUCACAGAUUCAAAUGAGAUACAAUGAAGCAGUACAACUAUGGCAAGCUAUUCAGAAUAUUGGCAGCAUAUAGGUGGAUUGGUAGUAGUUGCUUGGUAAGAUGAGUUUGAACAGUGGGAGCAGUAUUAAUUAGGGGUCUACAUAUUGUGUUCUUCGUUCAACUUAUUUGAAUUACAGGUUGGCUAAUGAGGCUGCCUAAAUCUAAUGCAGAGUUCCACUUAGUUGUAGUCUUUGUUACUUAUGGAUGCAUAAGAAGCGUACCUAAACAUCCCCGACUGAUGCAUUUGGCACCUUAAUUUUGGUAAAUGUGGAUAGGUAGCAGGCCAGUGAGUUCAGUUUUCUUUAAAACAUUCAGAUUUUAAAACUUAAGAAUAUUUAUUUAUUUUUUUUAUUUUAGAAUACUUGGAGAUCUUUUGCUUCCCAUUUAAUAGUUUUCAGGUUGUUAAUCAAAUUUGUGUGUUUUAUUGGCUUGUAGAAUGUAUUCAGUUGAUAUCUGAAUUGCUAAGAAUUGGAUAUUUUCUGUGAUUCCUUUCAAAUUAUCCUGCAGGAUUGUGUGUAGAUUGGAUUAAUCAAUGAAAGGGUGGAGAUAUAUUAGGUAGAUUGUUAAACAGGAGCUCAAUCAGUUAUAUUUCUGCUGCCUUUAAAUGAUAGUACUACUUGAAUGCUGUAACGUCUCUCUAAGCCUGAAUGGAUUUUUAUGGUGUUAAGUGGCUUUUACAGAGUAAGAGUUUGCUGCCCUCAAGUGGUUAAAAAGAUCAUAAACUCAUUUCUUUACACUCAGCUGGGGUUAAUAGUUUAUCACUAAAAAGUAAAGUUCUGUUAUGAGUUGAAAGUAGGAAGGAGAAACAAGUGGAGCAGAAAGUCAGUUUUCCAGUAAGGAAAAACAUUUGUAAUUAUUAGAAAGGGGAGGAAUCUGGAAAAAAUAAUGAGGAGGAAAUAACUUACAGUUGUUUUAAAUCUGUCAAGACUAUGAAAAGGUGCAGCAAUUUUCCUUGCUCCAAUUCCACGUGAUUUUCAACAUACAUAAAUACAACAUGAUGGAAAGUGGAGGAUAUAAUUCUGUUUUACACAACUGAGAUCUUGAAAGAAAACGGAGAUGUGGGAGGGCGAGAAGACUGAGGAAGACAUGGAAGAGUAUAUCUGGGAAAAUAGCCGCUCUCAGAAAAAUGCCUUGGAUACACUACUUCGAAUAAAAGCCUCAGAGAAUGUCAGUGAUGUAACUAAGGAAGAGCUUCUUGCAUCUGAAGUGGUUAAGGAUUACAGAAACUCUGUAAUUGCACUUAAAAA
Columba livia (rock pigeon) is the source of this 3441-nucleotide RNA transcript. It is a transcript of the gene named mitochondrial ribosomal protein S35, with no coding region annotated. NCBI's taxonomy places the organism in Eukaryota, Metazoa, Chordata, Aves, Columbiformes, Columbidae. The transcript has 9 exons. The record is from RefSeq and is a predicted model, not a curated record.